This is a non-coding RNA of Lonchura striata (white-rumped munia), 221 nucleotides long. NCBI's taxonomy places the organism in Eukaryota, Metazoa, Chordata, Aves, Passeriformes, Estrildidae. The record is from RefSeq and is a predicted model, not a curated record.
CGUGCCCACACCGGAGCAGGACCCACGCUGGAGCUGCAUCCAUCGUAAGCCAAACAUCUGCCCAGCUGUUGGAUUUCAAGAAGAACUUCCUGGCUUUCAGAGCUGGAGGCAGGCCUUUCUCCAGCCAUUAUUGGCUACUGCUUUCCUGCAAGAACAAUUUAACCCCUGUGAUGUUCAGGGCACUGGACAGAAGUAAAUAUAAUAAAAUUUAACCUUUUCCU